CCCAGCACCCAAACGUUGUGACUCUCCUGCCUGGGCUGUGCCUAGAGAAAAUAUAGUAUGUCACUGGACCCUGCAUGCAAGGGAUCUGAUUCUCCAGCCUGGGCCUUGCCCAUAGGGGAGAUUGAGACAUAUUCCAGGUGGAUGGUGACUCUAAGACCAGGAUUCAACACACCUAGAAGGCUUUGACUCUGAUACCAGUCACAGAAGGCUCUGAGACUCUUCUAUUUUCUCUAGGUCAUGCAAAUGGAGGUGGACUGUGAUAUAUCAUAGGGCCAACACAACACACAGUCUACAGGUGGAAUUGGGACUCUCAUGCCUGGAUCCAGUUCAUCAUUGAUAUUGUGACUCAUGUACUUGGAUGCAACUCACAGGAGGUCAUGCAAAUGGAGGGGGAUUGUGACAUAUCAUAGGGCCAACACAAAAAUAAUGUAAAACUCCUGCCUGAGCCAUGCCCAUAGAAGGCACUGUGAC
This is a long non-coding RNA of Symphalangus syndactylus (siamang), 471 nucleotides long. RefSeq lists it as uncharacterized. The record is from RefSeq and is a predicted model, not a curated record. Lineage: Eukaryota; Metazoa; Chordata; Mammalia; Primates; Hylobatidae.